AGAGUUUGAUCCUGGCUCAGGAUGAACGCUGGCGGCGUGCCUAAUACAUGCAAGUCGAGCGAACGGACGAGAAGCUUGCUUCUCUGAUGUUAGCGGCGGACGGGUGAGUAACACGUGGAUAACCUACCUAUAAGACUGGGAUAACUUCGGGAAACCGGAGCUAAUACCGGAUAAUAUUUUGAACCGCAUGGUUCAAAAGUGAAAGACGGUCUUGCUGUCACUUAUAGAUGGAUCCGCGCUGCAUUAGCUAGUUGGUAAGGUAACGGCUUACCAAGGCAACGAUGCAUAGCCGACCUGAGAGGGUGAUCGGCCACACUGGAACUGAGACACGGUCCAGACUCCUACGGGAGGCAGCAGUAGGGAAUCUUCCGCAAUGGGCGAAAGCCUGACGGAGCAACGCCGCGUGAGUGAUGAAGGUCUUCGGAUCGUAAAACUCUGUUAUUAGGGAAGAACAUAUGUGUAAGUAACUGUGCACAUCUUGACGGUACCUAAUCAGAAAGCCACGGCUAACUACGUGCCAGCAGCCGCGGUAAUACGUAGGUGGCAAGCGUUAUCCGGAAUUAUUGGGCGUAAAGCGCGCGUAGGCGGUUUUUUAAGUCUGAUGUGAAAGCCCACGGCUCAACCGUGGAGGGUCAUUGGAAACUGGAAAACUUGAGUGCAGAAGAGGAAAGUGGAAUUCCAUGUGUAGCGGUGAAAUGCGCAGAGAUAUGGAGGAACACCAGUGGCGAAGGCGACUUUCUGGUCUGUAACUGACGCUGAUGUGCGAAAGCGUGGGGAUCAAACAGGAUUAGAUACCCUGGUAGUCCACGCCGUAAACGAUGAGUGCUAAGUGUUAGGGGGUUUCCGCCCCUUAGUGCUGCAGCUAACGCAUUAAGCACUCCGCCUGGGGAGUACGACCGCAAGGUUGA
Molecule: ribosomal RNA, 908 nt
Filed under: Staphylococcus aureus M0193
Lineage: Bacteria; Bacillati; Bacillota; Bacilli; Caryophanales; Staphylococcaceae
Description: bacterial SSU rRNA
Rfam family: Bacterial small subunit ribosomal RNA
Source: RNAcentral